UACGUAGGGUGCAAGCGUUGUCCGGAAUUAUUGGGCGUAAAGAGCUCGUAGGCGGUCUGUCGCGUCGGAUGUGAAAAUCCAGGGCUCAACCCUGGACCUGCAUUCGAUACGGGCAGACUAGAGUUCGGUAGGGGAGACUGGAAUUCCUGGUGUAGCGGUGAAAUGCGCAGAUAUCAGGAGGAACACCGGUGGCGAAGGCGGGUCUUUGGGCCGAAACUGACGCUGAGGAGCGAAAGCGUGGGGAGCAAACAGG
RNAcentral lists this ribosomal RNA (253 nucleotides) under uncultured bacterium. RNAcentral's name for it is "partial 16S ribosomal RNA". It matches the Rfam family "Bacterial small subunit ribosomal RNA", at positions 524 to 776 of the family's 1533-position model. The record is from RNAcentral.